This 909-nucleotide ribosomal RNA is filed under the name Lactococcus garvieae. RNAcentral describes it as "bacterial SSU rRNA". It matches the Rfam family "Bacterial small subunit ribosomal RNA", at positions 73 to 968 of the family's 1533-position model. Lineage: Bacteria; Bacillati; Bacillota; Bacilli; Lactobacillales; Streptococcaceae. The record is from RNAcentral.
AGAUAGCUUGCUAUUUUUAUGAAGAGCGGCGAACGGGUGAGUAACGCGUGGGAAAUCUGCCGAGUAGCGGGGGACAACGUUUGGAAACGAACGCUAAUACCGCAUAACAAUGAGAAUCGCAUGAUUCUUAUUUGAAAGAAGCAAUUGCUUCACUACUUGAUGAUCCCGCGUUGUAUUAGCUAGUUGGUAGUGUAAAGGACUACCAAGGCGAUGAUACAUAGCCGACCUGAGAGGGUGAUCGGCCACACUGGGACUGAGACCCGGCCCACACUCCUACGGGAGGCAGCAGUAGGGAAUCUUCGGCAAUGGGGGCAACCCUGACCGAGCAACGCCGCGUGAGUGAAGAAGGUUUUCGGAUCGUAAAACUCUGUUGUUAGAGAAGAACGUUAAGUAGAGUGGAAAAUUACUUAAGUGACGGUAUCUAACCAGAAAGGGACGGCUAACUACGUGCCAGCACCCGCGGUAAUACGUAGGUCCCAAGCGUUGUCCGGAUUUAUUGGGCGUAAAGCGAGCGCAGGUGGUUUCUUAAGUCUGAUGUAAAAGGCAGUGGCUCAACCAUUGUGUGCAUUGGAAACUGGGAGACUUGAGUGCAGGAGAGGAGAGUGGAAUUCCAUGUGUAGCGGUGAAAUGCGUAGAUAUAUGGAGGAACACCGGAGGCGAAAGCGGCUCUCUGGCCUGUAACUGACACUGAGGCUCGAAAGCGUGGGGAGCAAACAGGAUUAGAUACCCUGGUAGUCCACGCCGUAAACGAUGAGUGCUAGCUGUAGGGAGCUAUAAGUUCUCUGUAGCGCAGCUAACGCAUUAAGCACUCCGCCUGGGGGAGUACGACCGCAAGGUUGAAACUCAAAGGAAUUGACGGGGCCCGCACAAGCGGUGGAGCAUGUGUUUACUACGAAGCAACGCGAAGAA